This 486-nucleotide ribosomal RNA is filed under the name uncultured bacterium. Its description in RNAcentral is "partial 16S ribosomal RNA". It matches the Rfam family "Bacterial small subunit ribosomal RNA", at positions 30 to 507 of the family's 1533-position model. The record is from RNAcentral.
AUUGAACGCUGGCGGCAUGCCUUACACAUGCAAGUCGAACGGCAGCACGGGUGCUUGCCCCUGGUGGCGAGUGGCGAACGGGUGAGUAAUACAUCGGAACAUGUCCUGUAGUGGGGGAUAGCCCGGCGAAAGCCGGAUUAAUACCGCAUACGAUCCACGGAUGAAAGCGGGGGACCUUCGGGCCUCGCGCUAUAGGGUUGGCCGAUGGCUGAUUAGCUAGUUGGUGGGGUAAAGGCCUACCAAGGCGACGAUCAGUAGCUGGUCUGAGAGGACGACCAGCCACACUGGGACUGAGACACGGCCCAGACUCCUACGGGAGGCAGCAGUGGGGAAUUUUGGACAAUGGGCGAAAGCCUGAUCCAGCAAUGCCGCGUGUGUGAAGAAGGACUUCGGGUUGUAAAGCACUUUUGUCCGGAAAGAAGUCCUUGACUCUAAUACAGUCGGGGGAUGACGGUACCGGAAGAAUAAGCACCGGCUAACUACGUG